Molecule: microRNA precursor, 198 nt
Filed under: Oryza punctata
Lineage: Eukaryota; Viridiplantae; Streptophyta; Magnoliopsida; Poales; Poaceae
Description: MIR812 microRNA precursor family
Rfam family: MIR812 microRNA precursor family
Source: Rfam by way of RNAcentral
UAAGAGUACAGUUUUUCACUGUUCUUAUUCAAUAUUUGACCAUAUAUUUUAUUUAAAUUUUUUUUAUGAUUAGUAUUUUUAUUGUUAUUAGAUGAUGAAUAGUACUUUAUGUGUGACUAUUUUUUAACAAAAACAUAUAUUUUUUAAAUAAGACGGAUGGUUAAACGUUGGACACGGAUAUCCACGGCUGCACUUAAA